UUUGCUCGGAGCUGGCGUCGUAAUGGGUGCUGAGGGCUGUGUCUUGCUCCUGGUUCCCAUGCUGCUGGCUCUGGCGGCUGCAGCUCUGUUGUGCUGGGUGUUUAAACAGAAAGAGCCACGGCAGACUGCGGCUCCUCCAUGCAUUGGCGGCUGGAUUCCCUGGAUCAGGGCUUCUAUCCGCUUCGGAAAAGCUCCGCUUGAAUUUAUCGAGCAAGCCAGAGCAGAGUACGGAGCCGUUUUUACUGUGGUAGCUGCUGGAAAGAGGCUCACCUUUAUUACUGAAGAGGAAGAUUUUGAGAUAUUUUUUAGAUCUAAAAAUGUUGACUUUCAAGAAGCAGUACAAGAACCUGUAUGGCAUACUGCUUCUAUUAGCAGAAAGAGUUUUUAUAAGAGCCACACGGCAGUUCAUGACAUGUUGAAAGGGAGAUUGGCUCCAUCUAGAUUGCACCUGUUUUCUGCUAAUCUGUCCAAGGAGUUCUGUGAACAUCUCAUGUACCUUGGAACCAGGGGCACUGAUAACUUGUAUGACCUCAUCUGGCACAGUAUGUAUCCUGCAGUUGUGAACAACCUGUUUGGAAGAGGCAUCUGCCCAACCGAUAGAAACACAGUUAGAGAGUUUGAAGAUCACUUCCAGAAGUUUGAUAGAGAUUUUGAAUUUGGUUCCCAGUUACCAGAAUUUUUACUAAGAGACUGGGCUAAAUCCAAGCACUGGCUUCUGUCUUUAUUUGAACGCAUUGUAGCCAAGGUUGAAAAGAUGAAACCCGUCGAUGAUAGCUCAAAGACUUUGUUGCAGCACCUUUUAGAUACUUUGAAUGGUAACUCUACUGCUAAUUACAGUUUAUUGAUGCUCUGGGCUUCCCAAGCCAAUGCACUUCCUAUCACAUUCUGGACUCUCGCAUUUAUUAUUUCAAACCCAAUUGUUUAUCAGACUGUUAUGAAGGAACUCUGUUCUGUCUUUGGUGAUCAAGGUAAUAAAAAGAUCCAACCGGAAGAAAGUGAUCUACAGAAGCUCUCAUACUUGAAAUGUUGCAUUUUAGAGGCAAUUCGUUUGCGAGCUCCAGGGGUUAUAACUAGAAAAGUGGUGCAACCUUUAAAAAUUAAAGCUGGCUUUAAACUCCUUCAGCCUGAUUUUAACUUGGGGACGGAAGUCAAUCAAACAUCCCUUUGGCAGGGUGAGGCACAAGAGACUUUAACUCCCCUCCUCAUCUCUACUGGUCCCAACAGUCUCCUGCUCAAAACCAUUGGAAAGCGGCAGGUGGUUGGUGGGAGGUUGGGAAGCCGUCACCAAGGACCGAAGCAAUCAUCCCUGGCAUCCAGAACUACAUUGUUCCUUCUGGAGACAUGCUCAUGUUGUCAAUUUACUGGGCACACAGGAAUCCCAAGCAUUUCCCUGAACCUGAAAAGUUUCUUCCUCAAUAGUGCAGAAAAAUGUUGUCUUCCUGCAGGACCGUUGGAAGAAGGCAGAUAUAGAAAAACAAGUCUUUUUGGAUGGCUUCAUGGCUUUUGGAGGAGGCAGAUAUCAGUGUCCAGGAAGUGAGCUGCUGUCUAUACCCGAACCAAAACUGCAACUGCCUUCUUUAAGAAACACCCAGAUUAACUAAACAAAGGAACCUUCCAGCUCUCCCAACCCAUCACUGACAAUAUGGCAUGCUUUGGGAUAUCCUCAAACAAAAAUAGUCCGCUUCAUUUAGUAGGAACCCAACAGCCACUGGGUCCUUGCAGAGUUGAAUAUAAGUGUCGAUGACCAUUAUUUACUGCAAGCCUAACCUAACCAUUAUAACUCAAAAAUGGAUUUGAUUGAUAUUUUUCUUUCCUGUACAAUGUAAAAGCAAUAAUCAUGUGUGCUUAUGGUAUGUUGUGCAGAAUUACAUAUAUGUUGGACAACAUAAAAU
Molecule: RNA transcript, 1892 nt
Organism: Carcharodon carcharias (great white shark)
Lineage: Eukaryota; Metazoa; Chordata; Chondrichthyes; Lamniformes; Lamnidae
Gene: cyp39a1
Gene name: 24-hydroxycholesterol 7-alpha-hydroxylase
Exons: 13
Source: RefSeq, a predicted model, not a curated record